GUACUGCACGAAGCAUUCUGAGGGAUAUGAGUGACCUAGAUGGAAUUUUCCCAUCCUGCAUAACAGGAUAAAUGUCCAAAGGCCCAAUAUUGAACUGGACAAGGAUGACAUAGUAUAUGCCUUGUGUUCAAUAUAUAUAAGGGCAAAAGGGUAAUUGGACACAUAUGUAUCAUCACAAAAGGAUUUGUCAGAUCACAUGGCAUUUUCCUGUGUUGGGUAGCAGUGAUGUGUUGCUAGAUACCGUUCA
This 247-nucleotide long non-coding RNA is filed under the name Lathyrus oleraceus (garden pea). RNAcentral's name for it is "Pisum sativum (pea) long non-coding RNA (PSAT_LNC002233)". Lineage: Eukaryota; Viridiplantae; Streptophyta; Magnoliopsida; Fabales; Fabaceae. The record is from RNAcentral.